GAUGAACGCUGGCGGCGUGCCUAAUACAUGCAAGUCGAGCGAACAGACGAGGAGCUUGCUCCUCUGACGUUAGCGGCGGACGGGUGAGUAACACGUGGAUAACCUACCUAUAAGACUGGGAUAACUUCGGGAAACCGGAGCUAAUACCGGAUAAUAUAUUGAACCGCAUGGUUCAAUAGUGAAAGACGGUUUUGCUGUCACUUAUAGAUGGAUCCGCGCCGCAUUAGCUAGUUGGUAAGGUAACGGCUUACCAAGGCGACGAUGCGUAGCCGACCUGAGAGGGUGAUCGGCCACACUGGAACUGAGACACGGUCCAGACUCCUACGGGAGGCAGCAGUAGGGAAUCUUCCGCAAUGGGCGAAAGCUUGACGGAGCAACGCCGCGUGAGUGAUGAAGGUCUUCGGAUCGUAAAACUCUGUUAUUAGGGAAGAACAAAUGUGUAAGUAACUAUGCACGUCUUGACGGAACCUAAUCAGAAAGCCACGGCUAACUACGUG
Molecule: ribosomal RNA, 497 nt
Filed under: uncultured bacterium
Lineage: Bacteria
Description: partial 16S ribosomal RNA
Rfam family: Bacterial small subunit ribosomal RNA
Source: RNAcentral